UUUCACAUCUCCGGUUCCUUUCCUACCCUAAUCCCAAUCUCAUCUCUAGUGUUGCGAGGAGAACGAUAUGCAUGACUCCAUUCCCAAUCCUCUCCACUAGUGUUGUCGAAAAAAUGAGAUUCACAAUUGUUUCAGCGCCAUAGGUAUUUUGAGCGCUGGAUGCAACAUAUGGCGAGUUAGAGUUUCAAACAUUUGUUGGGAUGUGGUCGAGGUUCAUUUGCUAGAUUGAGUUAUGAGACAAUUUGGGUGGUUGCAACAAGUUACUACAAUUCCAUUUCCAUUUGAUUCAACACACUUUUGUCAUGAUCAUCGGAGAAGCCCAAAUAUAAAUUCGGAGUUGGAACAUGCACAAUGGUUAUAUUUUUGGAACUAACGCCUCCAAUAUAGUUGUGAUGCACUGGUCAAUCAUGAACCACUUCUGUAUGGUAACCCCUACAUUAUUUGGUUCAGGCUCAUUACUCGUCUUGCUAUUGGUAAUCCUAAUUCGCGUCCUCAAUGUCAACAAGGUUAUGUGCCUAAUUCAAUGGCAUACGAUAUAAGCGGUGAAAUGACUUAUUUCCAUUUAAUGUUUUUUUUGAAUUUUGUUUUUCAUAUAUUUGUAGAUGAGGAAGCCUAGUUAUCACUUUCUAAUUUCCUUUACCUUCAGUUCACUCUUGUGGAAGAGUGAGAAAAAAUCAAAAGACCCCUGAUUAAAAA
Long non-coding RNA from Solanum dulcamara, 696 nucleotides. RefSeq lists it as uncharacterized. The transcript has 2 exons. The record is from RefSeq and is a predicted model, not a curated record. Lineage: Eukaryota; Viridiplantae; Streptophyta; Magnoliopsida; Solanales; Solanaceae.